This 102-nucleotide non-coding RNA is filed under the name Enterococcus devriesei. RNAcentral's name for it is "Glycine sequence". It matches the Rfam family "Glycine riboswitch aptamer". From Rfam's summary of the family: This family represents the bacterial glycine riboswitch. Glycine riboswitches usually consist of two metabolite-binding aptamers domains with similar structures in tandem. The aptamers cooperatively bind glycine to regulate the expression of downstream genes. The record is from RNAcentral. Lineage: Bacteria; Bacillati; Bacillota; Bacilli; Lactobacillales; Enterococcaceae.
UAGAAACUUGCGGGAGAGAGCAAUCAUUGCCACCGAAGGUAUAAGCUAUGAACAUGCUGGUUUCAUAGUGAACAUCUCAGGUAAAGGGACCGCAAGCGGAAG